Molecule: long non-coding RNA, 941 nt
Filed under: Homo sapiens (human)
Lineage: Eukaryota; Metazoa; Chordata; Mammalia; Primates; Hominidae
Description: HSALNT0171606
Source: RNAcentral
ACUUGCUGCACCAGCUGCUUGGAGUGCUGUCAGUCACAGCCUUCAGCUGCCAGCCCCUUUAGAGAUUGCAGAGAGCUGCCUUUCCCAGUGUUUUACUCCUUCCUGGGCUGGCCCACAUCCAGUGACUCACUGAUGCAGGAGUGUAAAGUCUUGGCCAUCUAGACCCAACUUGGGACAACUUUAAAGGGCCAUUGUGCUCCCGAGUCUCACUGAGGUUGGGUCUGCAUUGCAGCUUGACUUUCCCCUCUAUAUAUUCCUGUUUUCUUCCUUUGCCUCUCUUCCAUGGGUGUUGAUUCUAAGGAUACUCCUUAAUAAACAUCCUGUUUGGUAAACUCCAUCGCAGCAUCUACUUUCCAGUGAAUGCAACCUGCAACACCACAGAGAGAACAUGAAUGUCAGAAGGUGAGAUCACUGGAGACCAUCUUACUUGGAGGUUGGCUGCCACAGUAGGCAAAAGAGAAUUACCAGAUAAAUGGAAAAAAUCUGAAGUACAAAAGGAAAAGACCAAGAAUCCCAGGAAGAAAGGAGAAAGAGGGAGGGACUGAAGAAGUACUCAAAGAAGUAAUGGAUAAAAUCUUCCCAAAUUUGGAAAGGAGCAUUAACUAUAUACUGAAGAAGCUAAAAAGAUAAACCCAGAGAUAUCCAACCACACUUAUAUUAACUUGACUUCUGAAAACUAAAGAUAAAUGAAAAGUCUUGAAAGCAGUCAGAGGAAAAUGACACUUUGCCUAUAGAGGAAAACCAAUUUGAAUGACAGUGGAUUUCUCAUCAGAAACCACUGAAGUCAGAAGGAAGUAGCACAGUACUUUUCAAGUGCUAAGAGAACUGUCAACUCAGAAUCCUAUUCUCUGUGAAAAUAUUCUUCAGAAAUGAAGGGUGAAAUCAAGAAAUUGUCAGAUGAAGGAAAAUAAUUUGUUACCUACAGACCUACCUAAAACAAU